This is a long non-coding RNA of Phyllopteryx taeniolatus (common seadragon), 1413 nucleotides long. RefSeq lists it as uncharacterized. The transcript has 2 exons. The record is from RefSeq and is a predicted model, not a curated record. NCBI's taxonomy places the organism in Eukaryota, Metazoa, Chordata, Actinopteri, Syngnathiformes, Syngnathidae.
UGCAAUUUCAUAAAACACAUGAAGUACACAUGGUUAAAAAAGCCAGAAUUAGCCAGAAGGCUAGUUUUCAUCUGUAGUCCCCUGGCCAUGAUGUAAAAAAGCAGUAAAAUACAUCUACAAGACAAUAUAAUACAGGAUACAUAAUCAAACUAUAUUAUUAAGAGAGAAUAAAACCAUAAUUUUUUUGAUCAUAACAAAAAGACAACAUUCACUCCGAUACUUUCAUAAUGCAAGAAACCAUAUUCGGUAACUUAAACUUGAAAAUGGACACAACAUGCCAAAACAAAAUGUUUAUAUUUAUACUUGAUUAUAAUACCUUUCCAAAAUUUCCCAGCUUAAAUUCCCCUGGAAAUUUACGUGAGAUUUUCCACUCUCAGAAAACCUAUACAGCAGUGACGACAUUUGAAAUUUUUAUCAUGGUUUAUUGGUGAACCGUAAACAUACACACUGACAGAGCUGUACAUGUCCCUUGGCUAUAGUGUCAGAGCUAUAAUUGAAAACAGUGCUUUCGUAUCCCAUGUGUAAAUGUGGUUUACAUUUUUUAUUGUAUCAACCUUUUUUUUCCUAUUAGGUGUUUAUUCCUCCCAUCUCACCCUUAAACCUGGUCACCCCUCAGCUUUGGUUUAGCACAGACCUGAGAUCCCAGUGCUAUUUUUAGUCUUUAGUCUACCUCGCUGUCUUGUGUUUCAGUCUGAGACGUCCCAAACGGCACAGAGUGCUCAAUUCCUCACUCCAAACAUGGGCAAAAGAAGUCCUGCCAAACUCAUUGCCUGUCUUUCCUCUUUUUGUGCAGUGUGUUACCCAUGUAAUACCCCCUGUGACUCAUAUAGUGUAGUGUCUAUGUGGCAAGCCCAGCAACACAUGCAUUCCUCUGUCUGGAUGACAGAGAAAUACGCUAUGAGAAAUCUGAAGAGUAAACUUAGCCAACAGAGGAAUGGUGCUGACUUAUUGUUCCUCAUCAGCCCCACAUUCUCUGACGACCACCCAGCAUUUCUUCUCACAUGUGGUCCUUUUCUCCGUAUCUUUUACUGAAGUGUGCAUUCAUUUUAUGACCCUUGCCAACGUCUGCUCUCAUUGAAUUUGCCUUAACAAACAACCUAAUGUUCCCACUUGGGUCGCCAUGACAACAGGGACCCUCAAUCCCUCCUGGUCCAACCCACUCUUCCCACCAGCAGCAAGUUAAGAAACAAGACUACACGGAGACCCCAGUCAAGUUUGAUUUUGGCGCAUGAUGACGGCUAGAGGGUGGCCCUUUGUAACCAUGGCGAUGCGAGAGUGAGCCUGUUAAAGCCACUUAUGAUGGUGAUAGUAGACAAAUGAAUGUGUCCUUGCUACUAACAAACUCAAAAGUUUAAUCAAAAAAAUGUAUCUAGUACUUGUUUAGUUUCAAGAUUAAACCGAACAAAAAAACUG